AGGUGUGCUGGAGUUUGCUGGAGGUCCACUACAGACCCUGUUUUCCUCGGUAUCACCAGCGGAGGCUGCAGAAAGCAAAGGUUGCUGCCUGCUUCUUCCUCUGGAAGCUUCGUCCCAGAGGGGCACCCACCAGAUGCCAGCCGGAGUUGUCCUGUAUGAGUUGCCUGCCAUCUAGUGGAUGUAAUGCAGUCAAGUCAGCAAGUGCUUUCUUUCAAAGCAAUCAACGGUGCUUAUUGAGUCAUGCAAUAAUGUCAUUUGAAUAAAAACAAGGCCAGGAGCUUAUCCUACAGCACACCCCCAGAAUAAAACCAUCUCUGGUGAAGACUUAAAGGAACUAUGAAAAGACAAAAACCAGAUCAUUUUUGUGCUUGGCUAAUCAAAAACCAAUUCCUUUUAAAGCCAAGCACAUUAAAUAAAAAGGGAAUUGCUAUUUUUAUGCUGUCUUUGCAUGUUCUUGUGCUUAGUCUACAAAUAACUUUAUUUUGCUUCAAC
RNAcentral lists this long non-coding RNA (492 nucleotides) under Homo sapiens (human). RNAcentral describes it as "HSALNT0108505". Lineage: Eukaryota; Metazoa; Chordata; Mammalia; Primates; Hominidae. The record is from RNAcentral.